CCACAUAAAAACCUGAUGCAGAUGAUAAUUUGGAUGAACACUUUAAAAUCUUCAAAAGUAAAUUUCUUGACGAACAUAGUAACAUUAAAGCUGACGUGUGCGA
Xenia sp. Carnegie-2017 is the source of this 103-nucleotide long non-coding RNA. RefSeq lists it as uncharacterized. NCBI's taxonomy places the organism in Eukaryota, Metazoa, Cnidaria, Anthozoa, Malacalcyonacea, Xeniidae. The transcript has 3 exons. The record is from RefSeq and is a predicted model, not a curated record.